GUCCGAGCGAAUGGAUUAAGAGCUUGCUCUUAUGAAGUUAGCGGCGGACGGGUGAGUAACACGUGGGUAACCUACCCAUAAGACUGGGAUAACUCCGGGAAACCGGGGCUAAUACCGGAUAAUAUUUUGAACUGCAUAGUUCGAAAUUGAAAGGCGGCUUCGGCUGUCACUUAUGGAUGGACCCGCGUCGCAUUAGCUAGUUGGUGAGGUAACGGCUCACCAAGGCGACGAUGCGUAGCCGACCUGAGAGGGUGAUCGGCCACACUGGGACUGAGACACGGCCCAGACUCCUACGGGAGGCAGCAGUAGGGAAUCUUCCGCAAUGGACGAAAGUCUGACGGAGCAACGCCGCGUGAGUGAUGAAGGCUUUCGGGUCGUAAAACUCUGUUGUUAGGGAAGAACAAGUGCUAGUUGAAUAAGCUGGCACCUCGACGGA
This 436-nucleotide ribosomal RNA is filed under the name Bacillus mycoides. RNAcentral describes it as "bacterial SSU rRNA". It matches the Rfam family "Bacterial small subunit ribosomal RNA", at positions 61 to 476 of the family's 1533-position model. Lineage: Bacteria; Bacillati; Bacillota; Bacilli; Caryophanales; Bacillaceae. The record is from RNAcentral.